GCUGCGUUGAUUGCGUUCAGUCGCCUACCAGGGGAUUGCGUGGUUCGAUGACGACUGACAACGGGGAGGUGCUUGAACAGAUGGAGUGAUGGGUUUUUAGCUGUCCCGAAGAAGAGUCAUUGCCUGUGUCAAGCUGCGUUGAUUGCGUUCAGUCGCCUACCAGGGGAUUGCGUGGUUUGAUGACGAGUGACAACAGCGAGGGCGAAGGUAAGGCACUCCGAGCUCCUGUUUUCAGCAUGCGUGUCUGGCGGGGCAUGCCCGGGGGUGCAGAUCAUCGUUUUGCAGCCCGCGAUAUUCGUGGAAUGUCGAGCGACGGCUUGUGCUCCGGGGCAUCGCGUACGUGGUGAUGCGUGAGUGGUGAUUGGCGCGUGUCGGCAUGUCGGAUCCCUGCUCGAGCAGCGACGACAUCCCGACCUCGCCCCUUCAAUCGUUGGCACAAGUGCGCAAGCGCCUUGUCCUUCGUCGUCUUCCUGUGUUCUAUACCCAUCACGGUGGCAUCUCGCCGGCAAGAUUGUCCCAUUUUCGCCCCUCGCUGACGCACCACUAGGUGUUGCGGCGCGGGGUGAAACCCAAAGCAAACGUCUUGCUCCCCUCUCGCGCACCGCUGUAGGGGCGAUCGGGUUGUGGGCCCAGGACGUAAUGCUCGAUCUCUCGGAUGCAGAACAUCGAGUGGGCACGAGGCGUUGUUCUCUAUUUGCCCUACGAAGAAAGGCGUUUCCUCGCUACGUGCGAACGACGGUCGUCUCGAUUGUGAUCGUUUCCUCGUGGAUUGGGUCAUGUCGAGCAGACGUCGAUGAGGAA
This 801-nucleotide unclassified non-coding RNA is filed under the name Hemiphora bartlingii. RNAcentral's name for it is "partial external transcribed spacer". Lineage: Eukaryota; Viridiplantae; Streptophyta; Magnoliopsida; Lamiales; Lamiaceae. The record is from RNAcentral.